UCUCUUUUCUUUUUUGCGUGCGUCUGUCUCGUGACAAGAAAUGGCAUGGGAGUGGAGAGCUAGAGUAGAGCUGAUCUGCUCAGCCAUCAAGAAUAUCUUCGACUCGUCCAAUCUAAGCCGCUAUCUUUUUUUUCGGAUAAAGCAUCAUUUUUUUCCUACAUGUUGGAUGGAUGCCAUCUGUCCCUCCAUGGAUAGCCGAUACUUGUCAACCG
RNAcentral lists this long non-coding RNA (212 nucleotides) under Elaeis guineensis (African oil palm). Its description in RNAcentral is "long non-coding RNA (EGUI_LNC027156)". Lineage: Eukaryota; Viridiplantae; Streptophyta; Magnoliopsida; Arecales; Arecaceae. The record is from RNAcentral.